GGUGGGCUGGCCGGGCUGGCCACCGCGCUGCGGCUACAGGCUGCGGGACUGUCCACGAUCGUGUUCGAGGCGCACGGGCACGCCG
This 85-nucleotide transfer RNA is filed under the name Catellatospora sp. IY07-71. RNAcentral describes it as "tRNA-Cys". The record is from RNAcentral. Lineage: Bacteria; Bacillati; Actinomycetota; Actinomycetes; Micromonosporales; Micromonosporaceae.